RNAcentral lists this ribosomal RNA (253 nucleotides) under uncultured bacterium. RNAcentral describes it as "partial 16S ribosomal RNA". It matches the Rfam family "Bacterial small subunit ribosomal RNA", at positions 524 to 776 of the family's 1533-position model. The record is from RNAcentral.
UACGUAGGUGGCAAGCGUUAUCCGGAAUUACUGGGCGUAAAGCGCACGCAGGCGGUCUUUUAAGUUUGACGUGAAAGCUCCCGGCUUAACUGGGAGAGGUCGUUGAAUACUGGAAGACUUGAGGCAAUGAGAGGGGUGUAGAAUUCCCGGUGUAGUGGUGGAAUGCGUAGAUAUCGGGGGGAAUACCAGUGGCGAAAGCGGCACCCUGGCGUUAGCCUGACGCUCAUGUGCGAAAGCGUGGGGAGCAAACGGG